GUCUGGUCGUGCGUCUACGGGUAGGAAAACCAGAAGCCACAGCCUAAAGUUCGCUUAGGUUGUAACCGGUGGUCGGGUCUUCCCGAUUUUUCAAAACCUUUCACCCAGAUUUAUCUAUUGCUAACAGUUUGCCCCACGGCUUUACCUUUAUCGUAAUCUAUCUAUCCAUCCAUUCAUCGCCCGCCUGUCCGUCCUAACCCAAUCACCAGGGACAAACCAAAGUCGGGUUUACUGACCCAUCGCAAUGAAGGAGACCACAUCCCAGAGGAGGAGCUGUGACGCAACGUUGUCAACAUCCACCCAAGUUGUGGCGUGUGUUAGUCCUCAUUCCUUUUCAUGGAUGGAUAUCAUCACGCUGUAUGGAUAUACCACAUUUUGUUUGUCAUCCGCCAGUGGAUGGACUGACGUCUGUUGAUGCUUCCACCUUUUGGCUAUUACGAACAACGCUGCUGUGAACAAGUCUACGAACUUCAUCGUGGACGUUGGCAUUCGUGUCUCUUGGAUAUCUACCUGGGAGUGGAAUUGCUGCAUCACAAGGUGUCCGUAACAGCAGUAGUUGUUACUGCAUCUGCUACAGACCUUCUAUAUUUGGGUUUAAUACUUUAAAAUAUGGAAAUUCAUGAAAGAAACCUCAACUAGAUUGGAGUUGAGUGGACCUGAAUGGGGAGUUCUCACACCCUGCUGCACAUCGUCAAUUACACCAAACAGGAAGCGAGGGACCUUUGCAUCUUGGACAGAAAGUAAAACUACUUUGCUACUGAAGGAAGAUUUCUUUCCCCACCUGGCAACAGCCCAGCCAAUGAGAAACACUGCAGCCCAGCCAAUGAGAAACACUGCAGCCCAGCCAAUGAGAAACACUGCAGCUCAGCCAAUGAGAAACGCCACAGCUCAGCCAAUGAGAAAUGCCACAGCUCAGCCAAUGAGAAAUGCCACAGCUCAGCCAAUGAGAAACACCACAGCUCAGCCAAUGAGAAACGCCGCAGCUCAGCCAAUGAGAAACACCACAGCUCAGCCAAUGAGAAAUGCCGCAGUUCAGCCACUUUUUAAAAAUGUUUUUCUCUCUGUUCUUCAGGUUGGAUAAUUUCUCUUGGUCUAUCUCCAAGUUCACUGGUUUCAUGUCCAACCUUCUGUGAAGCCCAGCCAGUGAAAUUCUCACCUCGAUUGUUGUAUUUUUCAGCUCUAGAAUUUCCACUUGACUCUUUUUUCAUAGCUUCUCUUUCCUACUAGGAUUGCCUAACUGUUCUUUAAUUGUGCAUAUCUUUUCCUUUAAGUCUUUGAACACAUUUGUAUUAGGAGCGUUAACAUUUUUGCAUAUUGCAAUACCUGUGUUAUCUUGGCAUUGGUUUCUAGUGACUGCUUUCUUUGUUGUCUAUGGUUCAUACUCUCCUGUUACUUCACAUGUGUAAUGGUUUUUAACUGGAUACUGGCCACUAUGCAUGAAAUACUGUAGAGACCCUGCAUUGUGUUAUGUUCCUCUGAAGAGUGUGUGUCUUGUUCUGGGAGGCAGUUAAGUCAGCUGGAUUCCAACUCCAAGCUCUGUACUCUCUGCAGUGGGCGGCAGCUGAAAGGUCUGCUCAGUUCUUUCAAAUUCCAGCUGUCGCUUUUUCACCAGGUGUCCCGGGUCCCCUCCGAACAGCAAUAAUCUAGUCAGCCAAGGAUUUGGAUGGAUUUCAUAUGCAGAUUUUUAAAUUUACCUUCUCUGGGGCUUCCUUCCCUCCCACAAUUUCCUCCUCUCUCACUGUCUUUCUGGCUGAUCUGUCAGCUUCUAACUCUUUCCUCUCACACCUCAAGCCAGUGAGGAUGCAGCAAGGGCACAGAGCCGACACCCAGAGGACAGACUCAC
Molecule: long non-coding RNA, 1843 nt
Organism: Equus caballus (horse)
Lineage: Eukaryota; Metazoa; Chordata; Mammalia; Perissodactyla; Equidae
Source: Ensembl